GAUGAAGAACGUAGCGAAAUGCGAAAAGUAGUGUGAAUUGCAGAAUUCAGUGAAUCAUCGAAUCUUUGAACGCACAUUGCGCCCACUAGUAUUCUGGUGGGCAUGCCUGUUCGAGCGUCAUUUCAACCCUCAAGCCUCAGUUGCUUGGUGUUGGGAGCUUAUCUUUGCCGAAAGGCGGACAACUCCUUAAAACUAUUGGCGGAGUCGCGGUGACCCCAAGCGUAGUAAAUUUUUUUUCUCGCUUUAGGUAUCAACGCUGGCUUUCUAGCCGUUAAACCCUCUAAAUCUUUAGUGGUUGACCUCGGAUCAGGUAGGACUACCCGCUGAACUUAAGCAUAUCAAUAAGCGGAGGA
RNAcentral lists this unclassified non-coding RNA (353 nucleotides) under soil metagenome. RNAcentral's name for it is "partial contains 5.8S ribosomal RNA, internal transcribed spacer 2, and large subunit ribosomal RNA". The stretch from base 1 to 120 matches the Rfam family "5.8S ribosomal RNA", at positions 35 to 154 of the family's 154-position model. The record is from RNAcentral.